AGAAGUUUGAUCCUGGCUCAGAAUGAACGUUGGCGGCGUGGAUUAGGCAUGCGAGUCGCGCGAGAAUGUAGCAAUACAGGAAAGCGGCGAAAGGGAGAGGACAACAUGGGAAUCUGCCCUGGGGGCGAGGAUAGCGUCGGGAAACUGACGGUAAUACUCGAUAAUGUCUGCGGACCAAAGGUGUGAUUCCGCCCCAGGAUGUGCCCAUGUCCCAUUAGCUAGUUGGCGGUGUAAUGGACCACCAAGGCGAUGAUGGGUAGCUGGUGUGAGAGCACGACCAGCCUCACUGGCACUGAGACACUGGCCAGACACCUACGGGUGGCUGCAGUCGAGAAUCUUCGGCAAUGGACGAAAGUCUGACCGAGCGACGCCGCGUGUGGGAUGAAGGUCUUCGGAUUGUAAACCACUGUCGAGGGGAAUCAAAUGCAGGAGGGUCCUCCCUCUUGUUUGAGAGAACCCUGGAGGAAGGGGAGGCUAAGCUCGUGCCAGCAGCCGCGGUAAGACGAGCUCCCCGAACGUUAUUCGGUAUUACUGGGCUUAAAGAGUUCGUAGGCGGCGAAGUAGGUGAGGUGUGAAAGCCCUCGGCUCAACCGAGGAACUGCGCUUCAAACCGCUUUGCUAGAGGGAGAUAGGGGUAAGCGGAACAGAUGGUGGAACGGUGAAAUGUAUUGAUAUCAUCUGGAACACCGGUGGCGAAAGCGGCUUACUG
Molecule: ribosomal RNA, 709 nt
Filed under: uncultured bacterium
Lineage: Bacteria
Description: bacterial SSU rRNA
Rfam family: Bacterial small subunit ribosomal RNA
Source: RNAcentral